UACGUAGGGUGCGAGCGUUGUCCGGAAUUACUGGGCGUAAAGAGCUCGUAGGUGGUUUGUCGCGUUGUUCGUGAAAACCGGGGGCUUAACCCUCGGCGUGCGGGCGAUACGGGCAGACUUGAGUACUGCAGGGGAGACCGGAAUUCCUGGUGUAGCGGUGAAAUGCGCAGAUAUCAGGAGGAACACCGGUGGCGAAGGCGGCAUUCUGGACUGCAACUGACACUGAAAGACGAAAGCCAGGGGAGCAAACGGG
RNAcentral lists this ribosomal RNA (253 nucleotides) under uncultured bacterium. Its description in RNAcentral is "partial 16S ribosomal RNA". It matches the Rfam family "Bacterial small subunit ribosomal RNA", at positions 524 to 776 of the family's 1533-position model. The record is from RNAcentral.